UCGUUCUCCACCGCCGUAAUAAGAAACAACCUGUCAUCGUCGAUCCGACGCCCGCCUUCUCCUCCUCCUCUUCUUCUUCCUUCUCCUGUCUCUCGCUCUCAGGACCUCCAUUCUGUAGGGAAAUCUGACAGUCUUAGGGUUUUCGCUGUUUCUGGCUUUUCCAUGGAAGUUUCGUUGAGUUCAAUGCCACAAACAUUCAAGCUUUGCCGUUCUACCGACCUCAAUCGCCCCUGCCCCUGCCGCUGUUCUUGUUGUUCUUGCUAUUGUUCCUGAUUCGGAGAUUCUGUUGGGGUUUGGCUUUGCCAAAUUUCUCUAUCUUGGAUUGUGUUUGUUUACAGGAGGUGUAAUCUUUUGGGGACUGGAAUUCGUUUGAUAGGCUUAAGACUUUGAUAUUUGUGGCUUUGUUCGUAGUUAAUGGAUUUGUCUAAUUCCAAUUCCAAUCUUUCUCUCGGAAUCUCAUCGCAUGCUUCGCCACCGCACCGCGUUCAGAUUGCUGAUGAUUCCAUUCUGCUUCAUCUCGAAUCUUCUCGACAGGAACCCACGUUUUCGUCCCCCCCAAUCCCUCUUCAGUUGAUGGAACCGCUGACGGAGAGUCACAGAGACGAGGUUGGAGGUGCGGAGAGAGAAGACGACAGGGAUGUAGAAGAGUUUCAUAUUCUGGGCCAUUCUAUGUGCUUGAAGCGCCGAAGAGAUAGUGAAUCUUCGUUCUCGUCGAGUUCUGCAAAGAGAAAUUCGUGUGAACGUGAUUUAGAGACACGAAGAAGUGCUGUACGGUCGUGGGGUAACCAGACCCUUCGAGCCGCGGACCCUAACCUAUUUGGAAUUAUGGAGAAGGAGAAACAGAGGCAAAUCAAGGGCAUUGAAUUGAUUGCUUCUGAGAAUUAUGUGUGUCGUGCAGUAAUGGAAGCACUUGGAAGCCACUUGACUAAUAAGUACUCCGAAGGUAUGCCCGGUGCGAGGUAUUACUGUGGAAAUCAAUAUAUAGAUGAGAUUGAAACGCUAUGUCGUGAGCGCGCAUUGGCAGCGUUUGGUCUUGAUUCUGAUAGUUGGGGAGUUAACGUGCAACCUUAUUCAUGCACAUCCGCGAACUUUGCUGUCUACACUGGUCUGCUACUCCCGGGUGAUCGAAUCAUGGGGUUGGAUACUCCUUCGGGUGGUAACACUAGUCAUGGCUACUGUACCCCGAAUGGAAGAAAAGUUUCUGGGGCCUCAAUUUUCUUCGAGAGUUUUCCAUAUAAGGUUAAUCCGCAAACUGGGUAUAUCGAUUAUGAUAAGCUUGAGGAGAGGGCGCUUGACUUUCGCCCAAAAAUACUUAUUUGUGGGGGGAGCUCGUAUCCUCGUGAAUUGGAUUAUAGAAGGUUUAGGCAGAUUGCAGAUAAGUGUGGAGCAGUUCUGAUGUGUGAUAUGGCUCAAAUCAGUGGCCUUGUUGCUGCUAAGGAAUGUGUCAGCCCUUUUGGGUACUGUGAUGUUGUGACUUCCACUACUCAUAAGAGCCUUCGAGGUCCAAGGGGAGGUAUAAUUUUUUAUAGGAAGGGUAGUAGGCCAAGGACGAUAGCAAUGCUUCUGUAUCAGGGAAAUGAAUCUAACCAAUAUGACUUUGAGGAGAAGAUAAACUUCGCUGUUUUUCCAUCCUUACAAGGUGGACCACACAAUAACCAUAUUGCUGCGCUUGCUGUGGCUCUAAAACAAGUGGCUACUCUGGAGUACAAAGCAUACAUGCAGCAGGUGAAAAAAAAUGCUCAAGCCUUAGCUUCUGCUCUACUCCGAAAGAACUACAAGCUUGUAACUGGUGGCACAGAUAAUCACAUGGUACUCUGGGAUCUAAGGUCCUUGGGAUUGACAGGUAAAAACUUUGAGCAAGUUUGUGAGAUGUGCCACAUUACUCUCAACAAAAUUACAAUAUUUGGUGAUAAUGGAAUUAUUACUCCUGGAGGAGUAAGGAUCGGCACCCCAGCUAUGACAUCAAGAGGCUGUCUGGAAUCUGAUUUUGAAGUAAUUGUAGAAUUUCUUCAUAUAGCCGCUCAAAUUGCAGUUGUUGUUCAGCGAGAGCAUGGGAAGUUGCCGAAACCUUUUCUUAGGGGCCUUCAAAGUAGUAAUGAAGUUGUUGAGCUCGGAUACCGUGUUGCAAGUUUUUCAGCUAAAUUUGCAAUGCCUGGUCUUGAAACUUGAAUGGUAGUUGGAUUUGCAUUUUGAAAUGGGUGACCAUUUGUUGUCCCUAAAAAAAAAAAAAAAAAGAUCUGCUGCUCAUCAUGCCUUCCAUAUAAAAUCUUGAAGCUUCUCCCUCUCUUGGGGCUGCUGUUUAUUCAGAUGCCUGCAUUUACUUAUCAUCUUAUUGUUUUGAGAAGGGCCUUUCCAAUCAUCAGAAGAGAAUUUAGUAAUGCCGAUCUUUUCUUCUACAAGGCCGAAUGUGUACAAUGGAUGGAGGCGUCAUGAGCAGUUUUUUGGUGGUGUCAUUUCUGGGAUCCAAUCAACUGAAGAAACUGGUGGCUAGGAGGGAAUAUAAUUUAAAAAAAUAUAGUACUCUAUCAGAGACCGGGAAGAAUGCUUUGGACCUGAUUGUUUAUGGCCACGGCUGAGGAAUCAUUUUGCCAGCUUGAUGUGUGAUGAUGUGGUAGGAAGUACGCACAAUGCUGGUCAAUUUCCUUUGAUCAGAGUUCCAUUGUGAACAUGGUUGCCAAAGUAAGCAUAGUUCAACAGUAAUCAACAUGUAUUCUCCUACUGUUGUUGUACUGGAGAAAGGUGUAUUUUAUCAGUAUUAUUGAAAAAUUCUAACUUCUUUUAUAUAUAUCUCGAACAUUGCAUUGGAAUUUUUUUUAUGGUAAAGUUAUAAAAUCAUAUGAACAUUAUAU
This is an RNA transcript of Cucurbita maxima (winter squash), 2849 nucleotides long. It is a transcript of the gene named serine hydroxymethyltransferase 7-like, with no coding region annotated. Lineage: Eukaryota; Viridiplantae; Streptophyta; Magnoliopsida; Cucurbitales; Cucurbitaceae. The record is from RefSeq and is a predicted model, not a curated record. The transcript has 5 exons.